CGGCGUGGAUUAGGCAUGCAAGUCCAACGAUUCGCUGUAAUGUGAAUAGUGGCAAAAGGGUGAGUAAUGCGUGGGUAAUCUACCCUUAGGUUAAGGAUAACCUGCCGAAAGGCGGGCUAAUACUUGAUAAGACCACACCUUGGCAUCAGGGUGAGGUUAAAGCUGGGGACCCUAACAGGGCCUGGCUCCUUUGGAUGAGCCCAUGUCCUAUCAGCUAGUUGGUGAGGUAAUGGCUCACCAAGGCUUUUGACGGGUAGCUGGACUGAUAGGUUGGUCAGCCACACUGGGACUGAGACACUGCCCAGACUCCUACGGGAGGCUGCAGUCGAGGAUCUUUUGCAAUGCGCGAAAGCGUGACAAUGCGACGCCGUGUGAGCGAUGAAGGUCUUCGGAUCGUAAAGCUCUGUCAGAUCGGAUGAAAUCCGACUUUCUAACAAAUUGUCGGUUUGACGUUACGGUCAAAGGAAGCCACGGCUAACUCCGUGCCAGCAGCCGCGGUAAUACGGAGGUGGCGAGCGUUGUUCGGAUUUAUUGGGUGUAAAGGGUUUGUAGGUGUCC
RNAcentral lists this ribosomal RNA (558 nucleotides) under uncultured organism. RNAcentral describes it as "bacterial SSU rRNA". It matches the Rfam family "Bacterial small subunit ribosomal RNA", at positions 40 to 580 of the family's 1533-position model. The record is from RNAcentral.